RNAcentral lists this ribosomal RNA (1351 nucleotides) under uncultured marine eukaryote. Its description in RNAcentral is "SSU rRNA". It matches the Rfam family "Eukaryotic small subunit ribosomal RNA", at positions 411 to 1778 of the family's 1831-position model. The record is from RNAcentral.
CAAUUCAAGGGAGGAGCAGGCGCGCAAUUACCCAAUCCUGACUCAGGGAGGUAGUGACAAGAAAUAACAAUAAACCGGCUUAUGCCGGUUUAAUUGGAAUGAGUACAAUUUAAACAUCUUAACGAGGAACAAUUGGAGGGCAAGUCUGGUGCCAGCAGCCACGGUAAUUCCAGCUCCAAUAGCGUAUACUAAAGUUGUUGCAGUUAAAAAGCUCGUAGUUGGAUUUCUGUGGGGACGGAGCGGCCGGCCGCACAUCGCGGUUCGAGCUAGCGCUUUCCCUACAUCCUGCCGCGAACCGUGCUACCAUUAGUUUGGUGGCGCUGGGGAUCGGCUCGAUUACUUUGAGAAAAAUAGAGUGUUCAAAGCAGGCCACAUGCCUUGAAUAAGUUAGCAUGGAAUAAUAACUAAGGACUUCGGUUCUAUUUUGUUGGUGUUCGGGACUGAAGUAAUGAUUGAUAGGGACAGUUGGGGCGGUCUGUAUUCCAAAGCGAGAGGUGAAAUUCUUAGACCUUCGGAAGACAAACAGCUGCGAAAGCGUUCCGCAAGGAUGUUCCCUUUGAUCAAGAACGAAAGUUGGGGGAUCGAAGACGAUCAGAUACCGUCGUAGUCUCAACUAUAAACUAUACCAGCUAGGGAUCGGCCAACGUUAUUUUAUACCGACUUGGUCGGCACCUUAUGAGAAAUCAAAGCAUCUGGGUUCCGGGGGGAGUAUGGUCGCAAGGCUGAAACUUAAAGGAAUUGACGGAAGGGCACCACCAGCCGUGGAGCCUGUGGCUUAAUUUGACUCAACACGGGAAAACUUACCAGGUCCAGACAUAGUAAGGAUUGACAGAUUGAUAGCUCUUUCUUGAUUCUGUGGGUGGUGGUGCAUGGCCGUUCUUAGUUGGUGGAGUGAUUUGUCUGGUUAAUUCCGUUAACGAACGAGACCCCAGCCUGCUAAAUAGCGCGCGUGAGCUUUGCUCGCGGCGAGCUUCUUAGAGGGACUAUGAUGCGCGAUAGCACAUGGAAGUUUGGGGCAAUAACAGGUCUGUGAUGCCCUUAGAUGUUCUGGGCCGCACACGGGCUACACUGGCGCCUGCAACGAGCAUAUCAGCUGGCCCGAGAGGGUCUUGGCUAAUCUUUUGAACCGGCGCCGUGCUUGGGAUUGACCUUUGCAAUUGUUGGUCAUGCAACGAGGAAUGCCUUGUAAACGCGAGUCAUCAGCUCGCAUUGAAUACGUCCCUGCCCUUUGUACACACCGCCCGUCGCUCCUACCGAUGAAUGUUCCGAUGAAAUUUUCGGAGAGCACCUGUGAACUUGGCUCUGCCUUGCGAACGGGAGGCUCAAAGUCACAUAAAUCGAAUCAUUAGAG